GAUGAACGCUAGCGGCAGGCUUAACACAUGCAAGUCGAGGGGCAGCAUAAUGGAUAGCAAUAUCUAUGGUGGCGACCGGCGCACGGGUGCGUAACGCGUAUGCAACCUACCUUUAACAGGGGGAUAACACUGAGAAAUUGGUACUAAUACCCCAUAAUAUCAUAGAAGGCAUCUUUUAUGGUUGAAAAUUCCGAUGGUUAGAGAUGGGCAUGCGUUGUAUUAGCUAGUUGGUGGGGUAACGGCUCACCAAGGCGACGAUACAUAGGGGGACUGAGAGGUUAACCCCCCACACUGGUACUGAGACACGGACCAGGCUCCUACGGGAGGCAGCAGAGAGGAAUAUUGGUCAAUGGACGCAAGUCUGAACCAGCCAUGCCGCGUGCAGGAUGACGGCUCUAUGAGUUGUAAACUGCUUUUGUACGAGGGUAAACGCAGAUACGUGUAUCUGUCUGAAAGUAUCGUACGAAUAAGGAUCGGCUAACUCCGUG
Molecule: ribosomal RNA, 488 nt
Filed under: uncultured bacterium
Lineage: Bacteria
Description: partial 16S ribosomal RNA
Rfam family: Bacterial small subunit ribosomal RNA
Source: RNAcentral